AUCAGUCAUAAACGACAUACGAACAUGAGGACUAGGAAUGGAGACGCUACCAAAUCGGUGACCCCUAAAAAGACGACGACGGAGAGGAAAUCCGCCACCAAAACCACACCUGAUCCUGUGACGGAAUCAACCACUCCAAAAACCGCCGAGACGAAGCGCGGUGCUGCAGCUAAAGCGAAGCAGGCAAAGAACAACGAAGCCUCACCCUUGCCGAUCAUCAGUUCCGAUUCAAAACCUGAACGUCUACAGUAGUUGAAGAAACAAAAGCAUCUAAUGAUGCAACUUUGGUGACACCUGAAGCAAAAGUUACCCCUCGCAAGAAAACAGUAGUGAAGAAGGUAGUCAAGGUUGUUAGGAAAACGUCUGGGAAGACUAAAACUCCUGCAGCAAAAGUUGCUUCUUGCCAGUCAUCAAAGACAGAUGAAUCUGUAAAGGAUCAAGAUGAAGAAAGAUCAAAGGAGGAAAUGGUGGAUGCGAAGGAUUUUGUCUCCAUGAAUAAUGGGGAAUGUGCUACUGAAAAUGUUGGAGAAUCCCCAAAGAAGGAAGAAACUACUAAUGAAGUGGGA
This 566-nucleotide unclassified non-coding RNA is filed under the name Hevea brasiliensis (rubber tree). The record is from RNAcentral. Lineage: Eukaryota; Viridiplantae; Streptophyta; Magnoliopsida; Malpighiales; Euphorbiaceae.